GCCUCCUUAGCUCAGCCUGGCUAGAGCGCUCGCCUUGUAAGCGAGAGGUCGGGGUUUCAAAUACCCCAGGGGGCU
This 75-nucleotide transfer RNA is filed under the name Microcaldota archaeon. RNAcentral's name for it is "tRNA-Thr". It matches the Rfam family "tRNA". From Rfam's summary of the family: Transfer RNA (tRNA) molecules are approximately 80 nucleotides in length. Their secondary structure includes four short double-helical elements and three loops (D, anti-codon, and T loops). The record is from RNAcentral. Lineage: Archaea; Nanobdellati; Microcaldota.